AGAGAUCAAAACAUUAAUAAAAAGUCUUGCCACCUCAUUCUUGAUAUUCGAUAGCAAGAACGCUAAGCUCAUCCGAAAAGAAAAGGCUUCCAACGAUAUUUUGCAAUCAAUUCCAACGAAAAUUGUUAGAACCGUAGCAAUGUAAAAUAUUUGCGGUUCUGAAGGAGUACAGUACUAUCUUUUCCAAGAAUAUUAUAUGGAUUGUUUCCUACUCCAGGUAUAUUAAGACUAUCCCUUCUUUCUUUUUGGCAUGAUCUAUAUGACACGAACGAAAAGAGCGAGAUGCACUAGUCUCAACCCUUUAGUAGGAAACAUAUUACAUCCUGUAAGAGUAGUGGUGUAGUUGGUGCUUCCAUAACAUGUUGUUCGUGUAUUGGGGGUACUGAAGAAGCUCUAAAGCAGGCUCAUUGAAUUAGUGAAAUUUAAGUCACAUUAGAAGUAGUAUCCAAGUUUAAAGAGAACAACUCCACAUCUUUCUAUGCAAGUUUGGAGACAAUCUUGCAUGUAAUUCAGCUUUCUACAAAAAGAAUCUUACAUGUAAUUUGGCUAAUGACUUUUUGAUUGGUGGAAGAACGAUUGCUCAACACCUUAAGAUUCUAGGAGGAAUCUUGUCUAUUAUUGCAUGUCAAAUAGUCAUUCAAGUGUAAAAUCAAAGUUAAAUGGCUUUUCAACAUAUUAACAUUCCUCAGCAUGGGUAUAUUUUCUCUUUCUGUGUAACUGAUUGAUCUUGAAAUUCCUCCACCUUGUUCUUGAUUAGCCUUAUUUGGUGUCAGUACUGUAAUCAGCCUUAAUCUUUUAUACAUAAAGUUUGCAAGCUCAGUUUGCUUAUUAUUAAGACUAGUGGAUCAAAUUUCAUAAAUGAUUCUAUUUAUAGAAGUAUUAGAGAUUUGUAUGUUCCUGAUUCCCCAUAUGUCCUACUACCAUAUUGUCUAUUCAUGGGUUUCAUAACAUUCCAAAAGAUCAUAUUGUCUUACUUCAUUAUGUAUUGCAUUCAUUUAUACAUGUCUAUUUACCCACGACUCAAACGGGGUUAUAUACACGUAUAUAUGUAUAUAUAUGUAUAUGCGAUAUGGGAAAAGGUUACGGCAUACGCAUCACCAAAUGUUCAGCUGGUAUACGAUUAUGAUUUUGCCCANNNNNNNNNNNNNNNNNNNNUACUAUAAAUGUUUCAUGAUUUAUAGAUCUAUCCAGACAUGGAGGUUGAGUCCUUUACUCCAUGUUUCUUCCAUGUCCUUAAUUAAUGUUGACUUACUGUUAUGUUUCAGUUCUGCCUUACAUACUCAGUACAUUAUUCAUACUUACGUCUUUUUGUUGGGGAUGUUGCAUUCAUGCCUGCAGGUAUAGAUAAUAAGUUUGAUGAGCCCUCAUAGUAGACAAGGUUAGCAUUAAGUAAAGGAUUGGUAAGACUCCACCUCAUUCGGAGUGCAGCCAAGUUUAUGAGUAAUCGUAUCAAAGUUUGCCACACACUUAUGGGUACGCCGGUACCCUAUCACAUUUGACGUCGAAUAAUCUUAGAGGCUUGUAGACAGAGAUUCAGAUUAUAUAGUAUGUCAGAGGCCUUGACGGCCCAUAUGUAUUCAUGUUUUAUGAACGAUGGUUCAUUGAUAUAACAUUUACCCACUUAUAAUUGUACAUUACGAGUUAUGGCCAUGUUGGCCCAUGAUAGUUUCAAAAGAAAU
This 1679-nucleotide long non-coding RNA is filed under the name Nicotiana tabacum (common tobacco). RNAcentral's name for it is "long non-coding RNA (NTAB_LNC012527)". The record is from RNAcentral. Lineage: Eukaryota; Viridiplantae; Streptophyta; Magnoliopsida; Solanales; Solanaceae.